Saccostrea echinata is the source of this 263-nucleotide long non-coding RNA. RefSeq lists it as uncharacterized. NCBI's taxonomy places the organism in Eukaryota, Metazoa, Mollusca, Bivalvia, Ostreida, Ostreidae. The record is from RefSeq and is a predicted model, not a curated record. The transcript has 4 exons.
AAGUAGCAGCAUUUUGUGAUGUCUUGGAAAAGAAGAUAAAGAGAAAGGAGAUGGCAGACGGAAUAGCCUUGACAUUCCCAGACAAUGGAAAGAUGGUGACUGUGGUGUAUGAAAAUCAUGGGGGAAUGUCAUUUUCUAGGGCCUUUCAUCAUACAGACACAGUACAGAGUGUGUACACAUUUAUUUGUCAGAUUAUUGACCCAGAAAUUCUCCCUUCUGUAUUCCAUUUGGAAUGCAUUUCACCAACCACCUGUACAGAAAGA